GCUAAAGAGUCUCUUCCUGGAUUUCAUCAAAAUUGCUUCCAAGUCUGUUCUUGCUUGCAGCCUCCACCCGUGGAGUCUUCUUUGCAGGCUCUGAGGCUGCUGACUUAGAUGAGGUCCCCUCUGCUGGCUCUGAGACUUCUGAUAUGGUCCUUCUCAGCACUUACAUUAACAUUUACAUUUACAUUUAAUCAUUUAGCAGACACUUUUAUCCAAAGCAACUUACAAAUGAGAACAAUAGAAGCAAUCAGACCAACAAGAGAACAACAACAGUAUACAAGUGCCAUGACAAGUCUCAGUUAGUCUAGUACAGAACACGUAAGCAGGUUUUUUUUUUUUUCUUUUUAAGAAUAUACCAGACAAGAAAGUGCUAGUAUUAGUUGGUUAAGUGUUUGCGAAAAAGAUGAGUCUUCAGAUGUUUUUUGAACAUUUCACUUGCAGAGCGCAAACUUCUGGAGGGCACAUAAGAUUGAACUAGUGAGCUUAGGUAUGUUGGUGCCAUGCCAGAGGUCGUCUUGUAGGCAAGCAUCAUUACCUUUAAUUUGAUGCGAGCGGCUUCUGGUAGCCAGUGUCACCUGAUGAGGAGAGGAGUAACGUGAGCUGUUUUUGGCUCAUUGAAGACAACCCUCGCUGCUGCAUUCUGGAUCAGUUGCAGAGGCUUGAUAGUACAUGCAGGAAGGCCUGCCAGGAGAGCAUUACAAUAGUCCUGUUUGGAGAGAACAAGAGCUUGGACAAGAAGUUGGGUGGCUUGCUCUGACAGGAAGGGUCUAAUCUUCCUAAUGUUGUAUAAGGCAAAUCUGCAGGACCGGGUCAUUGUAGCAAAGUUGUCUGUGAAGCUUAACUGAAGAUCCAUCACCACUCCUAGGUUUCUGGCUGUCCUGGAAGGAGUUAUUGUUAACGAACCCAGCUGUAUUGAGAAGUUGUGAUGAAACGAUGGGUUAGCUGGAAUCACCAGCAGUUCUGUCUUAGUAAGGUUGAGCUGAAGGUGAUGGUCAGACAGGCUGAAAUGCGAGCAACUACCAUUGGGUCAUCUGGUUGGAAUGAGAAGUAGAGUUGAGUGUCAUCAGUGUAGCAGUGAUAAGAAAAGCCAUGCUUCUGAAUGACAAAUUCUAAUGACGUCAUGUAGAUGGAGAAGAGAAGUGGUCCAAGUACUGAGCCUUGAGGAACCCCAGUAGCAAGUUGUUGUGACUUAGAAACUUCACCCCUCCAAGACACCCGGAAAGAUCUAGCACAAAGCUAGGACUUAAACCACAGGAGUGCGGUUCCAGAGAAGCCCAUCUUUCUGAGGGUGGACAGGAGAAUCUGGUGAUUAACGGUGUCAAAAGCAGCAGACAGGUCCAGCAAGAUGAGUACUGAGUAUUUGGAAGCUGCUCUUGCCAGUCGCAGGGCUUCAGUAACCGAGAGCAGGGCAGUCUCAGUUAAGUGGCCACUUUUGAAGCCAGAUUGGUUGCUGUCCAGGAGGUUGUUCUGUACAAGGAACAUAGAGAGCUGGUUGAACACAGCUCGCUCAAGUGUCUUUGCAUGAAUGGAAGAAGGGAUACUGGUCUGUAGUUAAACUGCAAAGUCCUCAGCUGUAAGCGUCGAUGGAGGAGGAGGUGAAGGCGGAUUAAGAAGAGAAAGUUUUGAAGAGUGUGCGAGCAUCACAACAGUUGUUAAUUUUGUUGUAGUAGUAUGAUGUUUUAGCAGUGAAGACAUUUGCAGAGAAGGAAGAGAGAAGCGACUGAUACACACUGAGGUCGGUAGACUUCUUCCAUCUUCCUUGCUUCUGCCAUUAAUGCAUCCUUUGCAUGUCUUGAUGCAUCUGCAUUUGUGAAGUACCUGUAUCAAUAAAAGUAUUGUACAGAUUAGGGAUGUCA
Cyprinus carpio (common carp) is the source of this 1853-nucleotide long non-coding RNA. Lineage: Eukaryota; Metazoa; Chordata; Actinopteri; Cypriniformes; Cyprinidae. The record is from Ensembl.